Molecule: ribosomal RNA, 253 nt
Filed under: uncultured bacterium
Lineage: Bacteria
Description: partial 16S ribosomal RNA
Rfam family: Bacterial small subunit ribosomal RNA
Source: RNAcentral
UACGUAGGGGGCUAGCGUUGUCCGGAUUUACUGGGCGUAAAGAGCGCGCAGGCGGUCGAGUAAGUCGAAUGUGAAAGCCCCCGGCUUAACUGGGGAGGGUCAUUCGAUACUGUUCGACUUGAAGGCAGGAGAGGGCAGCAGAAUUCCCGGUGUAGUGGUGAAAUGCGUAGAUAUCGGGAGGAAUACCGAUGGCGAAGGCAGGUCUCUGGGCUAUAACUGACGCUCAUGCACGAAAGCGUGGGGAGCAAACAGG